RNAcentral lists this ribosomal RNA (164 nucleotides) under uncultured bacterium. RNAcentral's name for it is "partial 16S rRNA". It matches the Rfam family "Bacterial small subunit ribosomal RNA", at positions 355 to 511 of the family's 1533-position model. The record is from RNAcentral.
UAGGGAGUCUUCCACAAUGGGCGCAAGCCUGAUGGAGCAACACCGCGUGAGUGAAGAAGGGUUUCGGCUCGUAAAGCUCUGUUGUUAAAGAAGAACACGUAUGAGAGUAACUGUUCAUACGUUGACGGUAUUUAACCAGAAAGUCACGGCUAACUACGUGCCAC